This 27-nucleotide non-coding RNA is filed under the name Bombyx mori (domestic silkworm). The record is from RNAcentral. Lineage: Eukaryota; Metazoa; Arthropoda; Insecta; Lepidoptera; Bombycidae.
AGAGAAUUCAAUUCUGAGUAAUCUGAU